CCAGCCCCGCCCCCAGACCCAACCAGUCCAGCCCCUCCCCCAGACGGCGGCGUCCCCACCCACAAACCACCGUCACCAAGGCAACGCCGCGCCCCGGUCAAACGGGAACCCACUGACCCAGGAGGCUCUUCAGAGCCACACCAAGCACGCCCAGACCUUCCAGAACCGGAACCAGCAGACCCAGGCCGCCCUGCAGCGCCCUCCGCCCCCCCCCCCUGGUCAUCCCCAUGAGCCAGUUCAAGGAGCUCCCCCGGGAGCGGCUCCAGGACCGGCCCCCCAACAGACCGGCCCCCCGGCCCACCGCCCACCUGCCCGCCGGACAGCGCCUCCGCCUGCAGGCCGACCCGCACCACCCUCGAGCCACGGGCCACGCACCCCGUGGCCACCACGCCCAAGGUCACCACGGCAACCCCCACCAGAACCAGACUCGCAGAGAUAGGCCUCAUUGACGAACAAUGUCCCCUGUGUGCGGCCGCGGUACUCCAGAGGGCCUGUGACUUCAGGGGCCUGUGACUUCAGGGGCCAGGAUCAGGCAGGAAGACCCGUCUCCACCUCAUGGCCUGUCCUGUUGAGUAUUAAUGCUCCUGUUGAGUGUUGAGUGUUGAUUUAAGGGGCGUUGUCACACAGUGUAUGAACACAUGGGCGUGGUCGUUCCUGGGCUUUCCCUCAGGAGCUAUACAUCACAUGACCUAACAGAAGAGAGGCCUCUCCAAUCCCCGGCCCCCUGCUGGCCAAAGCGUGGUAUAACUACACAUACUGGAAGGGCUUCGAGAGGAAGAGGAGGACACGAUCACAGGAGUUACGGUACGACCGAGGCUGUUUUAUUAUCUGAAAGUAUUUAUCUAAUGGUCCGCUUUUACGGGGCCUCGGCAGAGGACCCCGGGGGGGGGGGGGGGGGGGCAACAGUAAGCGCUUGUUAACUAAUCCCUUUUUAUGGUUCUUAAAUGAUUGGGUAAUCACAGCACGGGGUCGCCACGGAGUCACCCGGCGUAGCACCGCCUCGACCGGAUGGGAAAUAAACGCGGUUAACGCACCGAGACACUGGGAGGAAGACACAGGGAAUGUGAUUUAGUGUUUGUUAUUUACUGCCAUUCUUUGUGAUUGUUUACUCUCAGGGAACGAUUGUACAGUGAACAAAGAGGUUUUAUAAUCGGUUUAACGUUAACCCCUAUUGUUAUUUAAAUCUCUUCCAUGAAAUGUAGGACAUCGUUUAUAUGACAUUUAAAUGAAUGCAAAGCUUUUUAAUAACUUCAAUAAUUUCUUUGGCAAAAUAAAACGUUUGAAUGUCAAGAGUAGGCCUACGAUAAGUAACAUCCAAAAUCCCCCAAUUACCUCUCGAAGUUGUUGAGACGGCUGGGCAAUGAGGGCCAUCCCUGUAGUGAGAGGGAUUUAAUCAAACGAUAACCAAAAGAAGCAUUACAUAUGCAGACGCCACCGUUCAGCUCAUAUUUUAUCGUCCCGCAAUGGAAACUCACUAUGCAUCAGGGCAUGAUAUACAUUAAAAAUAGAUGGUACUUAGAAAAUACUGAACUCUGCGGUAUUGAAAAACCCACCGUCCCACGGUCUACAGAGAGUUAUUUCAGUCGCCAUUUACUUGCAUUUAAUGUUGGCAUAGGCUGCCGCUACACGAUUGCCAAUGUCAAUGCUAUCCUGCGCCCAGCCUAUUAACUGUUUAAUAACGAUGACCCCUUAAAUGCCCCCCUUAUGUUAUCAGGUGAGGGAGAACCCAAACAAUUACAUUAUUUAUAUAUUAUAGCCUAAUUCCUUUUUUUUUUUAUGCGUCGAAAAAUAUCUGUGGGGGUAAAUAACAUUGGAGGCGGGCUUGUACUUCAGUUUGUAUGUUUGUUUGUGCAUUAUUCAAGAAAGACUAGUUUGAGUUACAGAUCUUAGCUGGAAUUAAGAUCACUAUCUGCUGUCAGGGAGUGGCCACUUUCAGAAUCAUUAGUGUGUCAAUACUGCCGGUUACUGGGUUACUAUGUGUGUAUGUAUAGAUGUAUCUGAUGGGUUUUUAAUUAAGAUGUAUUUUAUGGUCUGUAUAGGAUGCUGCCUCACUGGACUAUUUAAAAGAACAAGAGCCUUAGGAAUCAAAUGAGCUGUUUAGACUUGCUCUGUCUGAACGGACAGAAUAGGCCUACCUAAUAAAGCCGUCUGAACUUCUGUUCUGAA
This is a long non-coding RNA of Gadus morhua (Atlantic cod), 2166 nucleotides long. RefSeq lists it as uncharacterized. The transcript has 2 exons. Lineage: Eukaryota; Metazoa; Chordata; Actinopteri; Gadiformes; Gadidae. The record is from RefSeq and is a predicted model, not a curated record.